This 28-nucleotide small RNA is filed under the name Bombyx mori (domestic silkworm). RNAcentral's name for it is "ovarian small RNA-19288". The record is from RNAcentral. Lineage: Eukaryota; Metazoa; Arthropoda; Insecta; Lepidoptera; Bombycidae.
UAAGCUUUACAUGUUUUGGUGCAUCUAG